UAUGACCACACAAGGAGAAGAUUUCAGAUCAGCCCAUCUGAGCUUUCGUUUUCUCAAAGCCAGAACAGAAUACCCAGGGCUCGGUUUACACCUUCACCUUUUCUACCCACUGGCGGACCAUAGGCAGGCUGGGGGAACUCAUAUUAUUGUUAAAAAACCUCAUAAA
Molecule: long non-coding RNA, 166 nt
Organism: Etheostoma cragini (Arkansas darter)
Lineage: Eukaryota; Metazoa; Chordata; Actinopteri; Perciformes; Percidae
Exons: 4
Source: RefSeq, a predicted model, not a curated record